Molecule: long non-coding RNA, 2569 nt
Filed under: Phoenix dactylifera (date palm)
Lineage: Eukaryota; Viridiplantae; Streptophyta; Magnoliopsida; Arecales; Arecaceae
Description: long non-coding RNA (PDAC_LNC012799)
Source: RNAcentral
UACCGACGCUAAAAAGCGUCGUUAAUGACCGACGCUUUUGAAAAUGUUUUAUCCACUGUAGCAUAGGCGACGCUUUACCGAUGCUUGGGAUAGCGUCAGGAUGGUUUUUACCGACGCUUAAAAGCGUUGCUAAUGGCCAAAAAAAGCGUCGCUAAUGCCCAAUUUUCUUGUAGUGAAAUGCGUUAACUAACAUAGUAAUAUAUUACCUAUGAUGAGUUUAGAAUAUGUUAUUGUAUCUUGUGUGCAUGUUUUUUAUGAUCUAGAAUGGUUUCCAUUCGAGCUUAAGGGAAGCCAAACCUGAAUCAACUCCAAGCAACAUAUUCUUACCUAUAAAAUAUCUCAAAAUAAUUCAGUCUAACCCAUCACGGUUAAGGCCAAGCCCACAACGCUCUGGCCGACUCUAAACCCACUGCCAACGAUAUUAGUAAUUGCUAGAUAUAUGAUGUCGAUGUAGAUUACAUCCAAAAGAAGUUACAAGAACCUAUCAAAAAGAUAUAGGUUUUCCUUGAACCGAAUGUUAUGUGGCCACAUUAAGUAUCAAGCAUCCAGCUGUCCGGAAAAAAAAUUGACAAACAAAAUUUAGGAAAUUAAACAUAAGAAUACACACCAGUAGCUAGUAGAUGUAUGGGUAAAUAUGUAUGCUUGUACAUAUUUAAUGAACAAUCAGUUGGAUCGAUUGAAGUGUUUUUAAUAACAUAGAUUGAAACAUAAUUUAAUGCUAUGUUAGAGUGCACACUUUUGGACACUGCUGCUAUUCAAAUAGUAAAAGAUGAAGCGUGCUAGUUUUCAAUACAUCAGAAACCCAAGACAGUCUUUGUCUAAUUCUACUCCUGAGUAAUAAUAUAAUAAAUUUGCUAAUUUCUUUCUAUUAAAAAAAUCUAGAUGACAGUUAAAAAGAUACAUAAAGAAAAGGUUCUGAAACUAUGGGCUAGUUAGAUUACUAGGGGUGCAACUUUAUAAGGACUCGACCAAAUUAAACCUGCCCCUCCAACCCAUUCACUGCAUGGGGUUAGAUUGAAGCCUUAUAAAUUUGGAUUGGGUUUGGGAAUAAAUAUCCAACUCGAUCUCAAGUAGCUUAGUUUAGGGUUCACAGUAAACCCAAUCCAAUUAUUUAUAAAUAAAAAUAUAGUUUAUGUAGAUUAUUUUUAUAUUUUUAUAUUUAUAUUUGUAGUCAUGUUAAAUUAUUUGUGAGUAUAUCAUUGAAAUUGAUGAAUAGUUGAUAUCUCAAUUCAAUAGAUAUUUAAUCUAACAAAAAAAUCUAAAACAUUUUUCUAUCUUAAAAUAUCUAUUCAAGCCGAUCUCACCCAAUCAAGGUGGUACAAACUAAACCCAUCUAACCUAAUCUAAUCGGAAUUUAGCUUGAGAUUAGAUUAGGUUGGUUAAAGGCUAGAGAUAUCCUAACCCAAGGUCGGGUUGGUUAAGUUAGAGGUUGUUUUCAACCCAAUCAACCCACUCGAGUUGUAGCCAUUUAGACUAUGAAACAUAAUGAAGCAUCACCAAGAAUAAAGUCUAGUAUUUGAUAUAACAUAUUUAUCCAUAAUUCAAUUGCUUUCUUGCGACUGAAUGAGCAAUUUUAAUACUCCAAUAAGCCACUUUAAAUACUACUAUUGGCCUUCAGGCGCAUAUAAUAGCUAGCUCAUUAGUCUAUACGAAACUUCACUAACUUUGCCAUACAAUGGUCUUAAAUAAUAAUUAAGGGUUAUUGAGAUAAGCUAAUGUAAAAAUAAUGGCAAUUUUUUUCAUUAUUUUUUAGUAUUUUUUAAUCAUUAUAACAUACUGUUAUAAUGUAAACAAUGAUCAAUAUGUUUUAAUUGUACCUUCAUUUGAAUAAAAUAAUAUUUUUAAAUUCAUUUUUUACCUAAACAUUCUCCCCAAAAAUGAUUGUUUAGUCCAAAAAAUAAUACUUUAUCUAAUGAAAGUGAAUUCCAGAUUUUUCUCAUUAUUAUCCAUUAUUUCCUAUUACAACACCAUUGCAACAGUCGUUACCAAUGAUUAUUUUAAAAUUAAAAAUUUGAGAAGUUGUUUUUUGAGAAAAAUAAAAAUCAUUAUAAUGGUCAAUAAUGUUUUCAAUAAUUAUUUCGAUGCAGUCCAUUGUAAUAGGAUGAAACAUUAUUUAAAACCUUUGGCCAUAUAAAGCAUCCCCAUUAAAAAGUCUAAUAUAUCCAUGCAUUAUUAUGAUAGUAGCCAAAAUAAAAAACAUACACAAAAUUUUUUUAAAAAAGGAAAAUACAAAAGUACCUGGAAAACUAAUGAUAAUUGGAUAUCCAUUGUCUAAAAGGAUGCUCGUUAUCCAAAUAGAAAGGCUUAUUGGAUAUCCUGAGUACUUCUUUCAUAACUCAAUAAUAGACUUGCUGAUAUCUUAAGUUUUAUCCUAUUUUUCCUAAAUCCUUUAACAAAAAUUAAAUUACAUCUUUUUCUUGAUGUUUCUUGGCACUUUCCUUCUAUAUAUCCAUACCACCUAAAAAGUCCAGUCUCCAUAAGUUUAUCCAUUUCUUUUGAGGAAACCCUUAACUUCAUCCUUAAACAAUGUCACUCUUAUAAUUAUUUUAAUGCACCCUUCUUCCUAGUU